AGCUUUGUAGCCACCUCUUCUUUUUCUAACAGGUUGCAUCAGAGUAGACUUGUUAUGCUUUUCCUUUAUUCUGUCAUAUUUAUGUAGUGUUAAAAUUAUGGAAUAAUAAACAUAGCAACGAGUUUCAACUAACGAUCCAUUGAACUCGUUGUCUGAUUACUACCUACAGUGACAUGUCUGGGUGUUUGCAAAAGUUUCUUUUUUAAAAUUUGAGUUUCCUUCUAAAUCAGCUUUCGGACACUAAAAAAUGAAAGGAAAGGUCUGGAAAUCAAAUAAGCCUUCAGCUUCCUCGUGGAGCAGAUGACCUGUAAUCAUCCUGGUCUGUGGCAAACUGAAUUUAAAGUGAUGUGGCUAAAUAGGAGCGUGAAUAAAGCAGAGAUUCAGUUAUGCUAAAUUCACUCCGGCAUUGUCUGAAUGUUGUGACACGGAGUCUGAGAGGGCCACGCAGAGAAACAUGCUGCUGUUCCCUUUAUAGUCUGAUUAGCUAGCCUCCUGUUACCGUGUGUAAUGUGUAGUUAUCAUUAAGAACAAAAACCCACUGAAGUUGAGUCAAACUCACUUGAGAUGUUGGUCCUUGCACACCUGCCGCCGAUCAUAAGGCCGUGCUCUUACUUUGCAGUAGUGUUGAUCAACACGGAGGCGCGCACGGGUUGGAUUGAAGGCUACCAGUGCACACAGAGCAGCUAAUGAGGAGCAAUGUGAGGAACAGAUCUGAUCCAUCGUCACCAUCAUACCCACCGUAUGUGCACACGGGCUCAUGACCCACUACAGAUUACUGUUUUGAAGCUUUGCUGACCCGGGCCCUGUUCUUCACACGUGUGGGGUGACUAAAACCAGCUACAUGCUGCUAUCAGGCUAAAACAGAGCAAAUUGUCGCACAGUUAAUUUCAUCUGAAAGCAUUCUGAGGACUGAUAACCUCGGAUGAAGUUCUCAGUGCGUGGAGCUGGAGCCGGAACUCCAAUCAGCACAGUAGCUUUCAAAUAGUUCUGCAGGUUAAUUUAGGAUUUUUAGUGUUUAAGAAGAUACAUUGUCAUUCUGAUGUCUAUCUUUUAAUGGGUUGUGCGUUCUUUUUGGGUUUUUUGUCAUGCGUAGAUACAGUUAAGAUUAAAGAUGCAGUUAUGGAUUUUAUUAAGACAUUUGGAUCAGAAAAUGAGUGCAAAAGUGGGAUUCCACAACUCUGGCUUCAAAGAACCGAAACAGUCCAGGUCUCGUAUCAAAUUAUCAGCUAACCUUGAACGACUUGAGGCGUCCACACGCGGAGAACGGGGCCCCGGUUUGUGGUGUGUGAGGUGGGGAUGUGUGGAAACCUUGAUGCGGGUCUGCAAGGAGACGGUAACUGUUAACUGCAGUCUCAUCCUGUGUGUGCGUGAGGGCAGUUUAUACUGACAGCUGUCCUACAGCAUCAACAUGAUCUUAGACUAUGCUGUGCUACAUUAAAUAUCAGCAGUCUUUCAGGCCUCUGACUCUGUGUGUCAUUUGCAUCAGCAUGGAUCUCACUCGCUGCGCGCAUCAUGCACUCACCUGGUCAGGAGGUGCC
This is a long non-coding RNA of Astatotilapia calliptera (eastern happy), 1538 nucleotides long. The record is from Ensembl. Lineage: Eukaryota; Metazoa; Chordata; Actinopteri; Cichliformes; Cichlidae.